CCCUUAGAUGUUCUGGGCCGCACGCGCGCUACAAUGGCAGACUCAGCGAGUUACCUCUGUCGAAAGGCACAGGGAAUCUUUACAGUAUCUGCCGUGAUGGGGAUAGACCCUUGUAAUUUUUGGCCUUCAACGAGGAAUUCCUAGUAAACGCAAGUCAUUAACUUGCAUUGAUUACGUCCCUGCCCUUUGUACACACCGCCCGUCGCACCUACCGAUUGAAUGGUCCGGUGAAGUCCUCGGACCCAGUUGAACCUCGAGUUGAACAGGGAAAGUUGACUAAAUCUUACCAUUUAGAGGAAGGUGAAGUCGUAACA
RNAcentral lists this ribosomal RNA (314 nucleotides) under uncultured eukaryote. Its description in RNAcentral is "partial 18S ribosomal RNA". It matches the Rfam family "Eukaryotic small subunit ribosomal RNA", at positions 1470 to 1796 of the family's 1831-position model. The record is from RNAcentral.